GACGAACGCUGGCGGCGUGCCUAACACAUGCAAGUCGAACGGAAACGCCCUGCUUUUGUGGGCUGCUCGAGUGGCGAUCGGGUGAGUAACACGUGUGUAACCUGCUCUUGACUUUGGGAUAACUUCAGGAAACUGGGGUUACUACCGGAUAGGAGCUCCUGCUGCAUGGAGGGGGGGGGAAAGUUUCGGCGGUUGGGGAUGGACUCGCGGCUGAUCAGCUUGUUGGUGGGGUAGUGGCUUACCAAGGCUGUGACGGGUAGCCGACCUGGGAGGGUGACCGGCCACAUUAGGACUGAGGUACGGACCAGACUCGUACGGGAGGCAGCAGUGGGAAGUAUUACACAGUGGGCGGGAGCCUGAGGCAGCAACGCCGCGUGCGGGAUGACGGCCUGCGGGUUGUAAACCGCUUUCGCCUGUGACGACGCGUGAGUGACGGUACUGGGUAAAGAAGCACCGGCUAACUACGUG
Molecule: ribosomal RNA, 468 nt
Filed under: uncultured bacterium
Lineage: Bacteria
Description: partial 16S ribosomal RNA
Rfam family: Bacterial small subunit ribosomal RNA
Source: RNAcentral